Olea europaea var. sylvestris is the source of this 576-nucleotide long non-coding RNA. RefSeq lists it as uncharacterized. The record is from RefSeq and is a predicted model, not a curated record. Lineage: Eukaryota; Viridiplantae; Streptophyta; Magnoliopsida; Lamiales; Oleaceae. The transcript is spliced from 3 exons.
GGAAGUGAAAGAAUUUGCCAACCACAUUUUGUACACAUAUAUUUAUCCUGGAAAAUUAACUCGGAUUAUAGCCCGUAUGCCCAAUCUCUCCUCUCCCAGUUCUCCCUCUCACUGAAUAAUGAAAAGACCAUGUUUCACCAUUCACUUUUACGGCCGCGCAAUUCCGAGGUUCAGUCGUCACGCCGUUCAGUACUGCUAUCGACUAUUAAGAAACUGGACCCACUACUUUUGUAUCCCCCCUGGCGCAUUAACCAUCUGUGGAGGGGGUUUGGCGUUAUAAUGUGCUGAUGAGAACCGUCAAUUGUAUAAUUUCCUUCCUUUCUUUCUCCCUAAACAUCAAAGACACCAAAUGCCUCUUUAUUUAUAUUUUGAGGUUUCAUCGUAGCCAUCAAUGUUCAGUUGAAGGAUCCUGGUCCAUGGUAAAGUUUUUCAAUUCCUCGCAUAUCUCUACCUCCUCUUGCCCUAUUUUCAGAUAGAAAUCAUGGUGAACGGGAUCCAUGUAGUUUACUGUGUAGGGGAAGAAAAUAGAAAAGAAGAGUCUGAUAGCAACAUCAACCAAGGGGUGGACGAAAAAAA